This 117-nucleotide non-coding RNA is filed under the name Nomascus leucogenys (northern white-cheeked gibbon). The record is from Rfam by way of RNAcentral. Lineage: Eukaryota; Metazoa; Chordata; Mammalia; Primates; Hylobatidae.
GUUGGGCAUGGUGGCUCAUGCCUGUAAUCCCAGCACUUUAGGAGGCUGAGGUGGGCGGAUCACCUGAGGUCAGGAGUUCCAGACCAGCCUGGCCAACAUGGUGAAACCCCAUCUCUA